AGAGUUUGAUCAUGGCUCAGGAUGAACGCUAGCGGGAGGCCUAACACAUGCAAGCCGAGCGGUAGAGAUUCUUCGGAAUCUUGAGAGCGGCGUACGGGUGCGGAACACGUGUGCAACCUACCUUUAUCUGGAGGAAAGCCUUUCGAAAGGAAGAUUAAUACUCCAUAAUAUAUUGAUUGGCAUCAAUUGAUAUUGAAAGCUCCGGCGGAUAGAGAUGGGCACGCGCAAGAUUAGUUAGUUGGUGAGGUAACGGCUCACCAAGACGAUGAUCUUUAGGGGCCUGAGAGGGUGAUCCCCCACACUGGUACUGAGACACGGACCAGACUCCUACGGGAGGCAGCAGUGAGGAAUAUUGGUCAAUGGGUGCAAGCCUGAACCAGCCAUCCCGCGUGAAGGACGACUGCCCUAUGGGUUGUAAACUUCUUUUGUAUAGGGAUAAACCUACCCUCGUGAGGGUAGCUGAAGGUACUAUACGAAUAAGCACCGGCUAACUCCGUG
This 498-nucleotide ribosomal RNA is filed under the name uncultured bacterium. Its description in RNAcentral is "bacterial SSU rRNA". It matches the Rfam family "Bacterial small subunit ribosomal RNA", at positions 8 to 507 of the family's 1533-position model. The record is from RNAcentral.